RNAcentral lists this ribosomal RNA (345 nucleotides) under Triticum aestivum (bread wheat). Its description in RNAcentral is "partial small subunit ribosomal RNA". The record is from RNAcentral. Lineage: Eukaryota; Viridiplantae; Streptophyta; Magnoliopsida; Poales; Poaceae.
AUGGUAUUCGGGAUGGAUACUAGUGUGCUAGCGCCAACACCUUCUCCCUGGUACAGUAUUGAUAGUCUUGGAGCAAGCUCGCUCUUCCUUGGACAAAACUAUCCAAUGAUGGUGAAAGGCGAUCCAACUGCUGUUGACACAACGUUACUACCAUUUACAAGAAGCAACUGUAUCUAUACAUCGGACACUGCGUUGGUUACCUACCCUGGUCGUGAUAUAGUAGGUCGCUUCAGCCCGGAUGAUCAGUCCUGCAUUGGUCUCGAGAUUGACAGUAGCUGGCUCUUCCGAGAGAAUCGCUUGUGGUUCAAAGCAAGCGUUUCCAACGCCGAGGAUUGGUUGAGUUGA